Molecule: transfer RNA, 84 nt
Filed under: Methanobrevibacter ruminantium M1
Lineage: Archaea; Methanobacteriati; Methanobacteriota; Methanobacteria; Methanobacteriales; Methanobacteriaceae
Description: tRNA-Ser (GCT) (tRNA-Ser-GCT-2-1)
Rfam family: tRNA
About the family: Transfer RNA (tRNA) molecules are approximately 80 nucleotides in length. Their secondary structure includes four short double-helical elements and three loops (D, anti-codon, and T loops). Further hydrogen bonds mediate the characteristic L-shaped molecular structure. tRNAs have two regions of fundamental functional importance: the anti-codon, which is responsible for specific mRNA codon recognition, and the 3' end, to which the tRNAs corresponding amino acid is attached (by aminoacyl-tRNA synthetases). tRNAs cope with the degeneracy of the genetic code in two manners: having more than one tRNA (with a specific anti-codon) for a particular amino acid; and 'wobble' base-pairing, i.e. permitting non-standard base-pairing at the 3rd anti-codon position.
Source: Rfam by way of RNAcentral
GGCGUGGUGGCCUAGCUCGGUAGGGCGGAGGGCUGCUAAUCCUCUGCGAUAAAACGCUCAUGGGUUCAAAUCCCAUCCACGCCG